CCUACGGGAGGCUGCAGUAGGGAAUCUUCCACAAUGGGCGAAAGCCUGAUGGAGCAACGCCGCGUGGGUGAAGAAGGUCUUCGGAUCGUAAAACCCUGUUUUUAGAGAAGUAAGUGCGUGAGAGUAACUGUUCACGUUUCGACGGUAUCUAACCAGAAAGCCACGGCUAACUACGUGCCAGCAGCCGCGGUAAUACGUAGGUGGCAAGCGUUAUCCGGAUUUAUUUGGCGUAAAGGGAACGCAGUCGGUCUUUUAAGUCUGAUGUGAAAGCCUUCGGCCUAACCGGAGUAGUGCAUUGGAAACUGGGAGACUUGAGUGCAGAAGAGGAGAGUGGAACUCCAUGUGUAGCGGUGAAAUGCGUAGAUAUAUGGAAGAACACCAGUGGCGAAGGCGGCUCUCUGGUCUGUAACUGACGCUGAGGUUCGAAAGCGUGGGUAGCAAACAGGAUUAGAUACCCCGGUAGUC
RNAcentral lists this ribosomal RNA (465 nucleotides) under uncultured bacterium. RNAcentral's name for it is "partial 16S ribosomal RNA". It matches the Rfam family "Bacterial small subunit ribosomal RNA", at positions 338 to 795 of the family's 1533-position model. The record is from RNAcentral.